This 88-nucleotide transfer RNA is filed under the name Takifugu rubripes (torafugu). It matches the Rfam family "tRNA". Rfam says of the family: Transfer RNA (tRNA) molecules are approximately 80 nucleotides in length. Their secondary structure includes four short double-helical elements and three loops (D, anti-codon, and T loops). The record is from Rfam by way of RNAcentral. Lineage: Eukaryota; Metazoa; Chordata; Actinopteri; Tetraodontiformes; Tetraodontidae.
CCUUCGAUAGCUCAGUUGGUAGAGCGGAGGACUGUAGCGGCUUUAUCCAGCCAUCCUUAGGUCGCUGGUUCAAAUCCGGCUCGAAGGA